Triticum urartu is the source of this 2212-nucleotide non-coding RNA. The record is from RefSeq and is a predicted model, not a curated record. Lineage: Eukaryota; Viridiplantae; Streptophyta; Magnoliopsida; Poales; Poaceae.
CCCUCGAGUGAUAACCCCGCCAGAGGACAUCCCUUCGCCGACGCCAUUGCGCUCGCAACAAGGAUCCCUGCGCUAUCUCCGUUAACGUUCGCCGCCAUCGAUCCCUUCACCGCCGAACCCCUUGCCAUCGCGCUCGCAACAAGGAUCGAGGCCUCCAGACUGCCCUCCAUCCGUGCACUAUCUCCGUUGGCCGCCGCCGCCGCCUCCGAUCCCCUUCAGGAGCCUACGCCCUAGGUCACAUCGGCGCCGCUGCUACGCCGCCGCCACCAUUCCGCUCGCACGCUGCCAUCACCAUCACCCCUCUCGCAUGCCUCUGCCGCCAUCACCCAUUGUCGCAGCUCGGAUGUGGAGCUCGUGUGCCAUGGCCGCCAUGGCAUCCAUGGCCGACACGAGGGGACCCUCGGCCUCGGCCGUGGCUGCCUGCUCGGGAAACGGGGUCGCCACGUCCGACUCCCCUAGCGCCUCGUGGACCGGCAUCAGAGUCCCCAGGUCCGCCGCCAUCGAACUCAGGUACGCCUCGACGGACAUGGUCGAUCAAGUGAUCUAAUCUGAUCCCAUGUUCCGAAGUCCUAAUGAGAACGUACUCCUACGUGGAUCCAAGUCCGAGUUGGGAGCGACGUCGAUCUGAUGAACGUGCAAGGAUUUCUGAAUCCAAGACUUAUAUUUUACUAUAUAUGUUCACUGGUUAUUCAAUUCAAUUGUUCGUACAACAGCAGAUUUUUUUUCUUUUAGCACAAAUUCCAGUAGUUGUGUUUGCUUCUUUUGAAGAUCACCAGCCAUAUCACAACUGUUCCCAUCCAACAGGUUAAGCAGAACUGCAAAAGCAACAACAAAUUUUCUAUGGUACAUUGUUUUUUUAGUUUCAGUCCAUCAAAUUCUCUGGUUGAAAUGUGUGUGUCUUGCUGCAGCGGCCAGUGCAGUUUCGACUUCAGUUCAGAGUCACACUCUCUCUUGCUGCUCUCUGCCAUCUAGAUCAGCCCUGGAUCUAGACGAUUUCAUGCCCUCCAUUGCGGUUGUUGCUAUAAUAUGAUUUAUUACAACUUGUUUGAAUGGGUUAGAAGGGAGUGACGAACUGUUUCAUGAGCUUUCAUGUACCUUCCAAUUUCAUUGUCAUUUGAAGUGUGAACUUGCUUCAAACAGUCAAUUUGCCUUCCUGCCACAAUAUUUCUCGGCAACGGUGGCCAAACGAGACCGCCCUCCACGCCGGGACGCUGACACGCCGGCCUGCAUGUCCCUGCUCCGACGGACGCACCAAACUCCACAACUUCCCCGCAAUCUGACCACGGGCAGACACACUUUCUUCAGGGGAAUUCAGGUUACAGUACUGUGUAAUCAUGGAGCACAGAGCAGAGCCUCUCCGAUCGGAAAAUUUGGACGUGAAGAGAACACCUUAAAUUAGUUAAGCGGUACACGUUUACUCGAGUGCUCUAACAGCUACACUAACCUGGCAGAAUAUGACCAGAAUUCAGUAGUGUCAUGAGGCCUGUGGUGGCCAAGGUUUGAAGACCGAGUUUUCAAAGCUGAACUGAUGUCCAGUCUAGAUCUGAGGGUGACAACAACAUUCUACUUCUACUGCAGCAGGUCAGAGAAGCCAAAAGGAGGAGCCAUGACUAGCUCCGUUUUCUCGCAGUGACGAUGGCCUUCCUCUAACAUCAGCUUCCAAAAGGAUACUAUUGUGAGAUUGUAUGAUACAUAAAAGACGGCCUCAAGCCCCUAGACGGAAGCAUCCAGUCUCGCUGUUCUACCAAGUUCGCCGGAACGCAGACCGCGUGUGGUCCACCUCAGUUAAUUUGCCUUCCUGCCACAAAAUUUCUCGGCAACAGUGGUUGUAUUGGAAACAUCAGCUUCCAAAAGGAUACUAUUGUGAGAUGGUAUGAUACAUAAAAGACAGGCUCAAGCCCCUGUACUGGAGCAUCCAGUCUCGCCGUUCUACCAAGUUCGCCGGAACGCCAACCGCGUGUGCUCCACCUGAAGUACGCCGUUCUAAAAUUCACACAUCCAAGCCAUGAGUAGCCCUAAAGUAGCAAGUUGUUAUAUUUCAAAAUUUAUUUGUAGGAGCAUGUGUUUCGGGCUUUAUACUUCACCAUGAUCUUUUACUGUGUGCAUGUAACCAUACCGUCUACUAGAUCAUGGAAGGCGCGCGUUGCUGCGCCCGUCUGUUUGUAAUAUUGAAUAUUAAUGUUCAAAGAAAAUAUUGAAUAAUUGCUGGAAC